This 807-nucleotide ribosomal RNA is filed under the name Escherichia coli. Its description in RNAcentral is "partial 23S ribosomal RNA". It matches the Rfam family "Bacterial large subunit ribosomal RNA", at positions 937 to 1744 of the family's 2925-position model. Lineage: Bacteria; Pseudomonadati; Pseudomonadota; Gammaproteobacteria; Enterobacterales; Enterobacteriaceae. The record is from RNAcentral.
UACCAACCCGAUGCAAACUGCGAAUACCGGAGAAUGUUAUCACGGGAGACACACGGCGGGUGCUAACGUCCGUCGUGAAGAGGGAAACAACCCAGACCGCCAGCUAAGGUCCCAAAGUCAUGGUUAAGUGGGAAACGAUGUGGGAAGGCCCAGACAGCCAGGAUGUUGGCUUAGAAGCAGCCAUCAUUUAAAGAAAGCGUAAUAGCUCACUGGUCGAGUCGGCCUGCGCGGAAGAUGUAACGGGGCUAAACCAUGCACCGAAGCUGCGGCAGCGACGCUGAUGCGUUGUUGGGUAGGGGAGCGUUCUGUAAGCCUGCGAAGGUGUGCUGUGAGGCAUGCUGGAGGUAUCAGAAGUGCGAAUGCUGACAUAAGUAACGAUAAAGCGGGUGAAAAGCCCGCUCGCCGGAAGACCAAGGGUUCCUGUCCAACGUUAAUCGGGGCAGGGUGAGUCGACCCCUAAGGCGAGGCCGAAAGGCGUAGUCGAUGGGAAACAGGUUAAUAUUCCUGUACUUGGUGUUACUGCGAAGGGGGGACGGAGAAGGCUAUGUUGGCCGGGCGACGGUUGUCCCGGUUUAAGCGUGUAGGCUGGUUUUCCAGGCAAAUCCGGAAAAUCAAGGCUGAGGCGUGAUGACGAGGCACUACGGUGCUGAAGCAACAAAUGCCCUGCUUCCAGGAAAAGCCUCUAAGCAUCAGGUAACAUCAAAUCGUACCCCAAACCGACACAGGUGGUCAGGUAGAGAAUACCAAGGCGCUUGAGAGAACUCGGGUGAAGGAACUAGGCAAAAUGGUGCCGUAACUUCGGGAGAA